GGGUUGUGAGGUUAAGCGACUAAGCGUACACGGUGGAUGCCCUGGCAGUCAGAGGCGAUGAAGGACGUGCUAAUCUGCGAUAAGCGUCGGUAAGGUGAUAUGAACCGUUAUAACCGGCGAUUUCCGAAUGGGGAAACCCAGUGUGAUUUGUCACACUAUCAUUAACUGAAUCCAUAGGUUAAUGAGGCGAACCGGGGGAACUGAAACAUCUAAGUACCCCGAGGAAAAGAAAUCAACCGAGAUUCCCCCAGUAGCGGCGAGCGAACGGGGAGGAGCCCAGAGCCUGAAUCAGUGUGUGUGUUAGUGGAAGCGUCUGGAAAGGCGCGCGAUACAGGGUGACAGCCCCGUACACAAAAAUGCACAUGCUGUGAGCUCGAUGAGUAGGGCGGGACACGUGGUAUCCUGUCUGAAUAUGGGGGGACCAUCCUCCAAGGCUAAAUACUCCUGACUGACCGAUAGUGAACCAGUACCGUGAGGGAAAGGCGAAAAGAACCCCGGCGAGGGGAGUGAAAAAGAACCUGAAACCGUGUACGUACAAGCAGUGGGAGCACGCUUCGGCGUGUGACUGCGUACCUUUUGUAUAAUGGGUCAGCGACUUAUAUUCUGUAGCAAGGUUAACCGAAUAGGGGAGCCGAAGGGAAACCGAGUCUUAACUGGGCGUUAAGUUGCAGGGUAUAGACCCGAAACCCGGUGAUCUAGCCAUGGGCAGGUUGAAGGUUGGGUAACACUAACUGGAGGACCGAACCGACUAAUGUUGAAAAAUUAGCGGAUGACUUGUGGCUGGGGGUGAAAGGCCAAUCAAACCGGGAGAUAGCUGGUUCUCCCCGAAAGCUAUUUAGGUAGCGCCUCGUGAAUUCAUCUCCGGGGGUAGAGCACUGUUUCGGCAAGGGGGUCAUCCCGACUUACCAACCCGAUGCAAACUGCGAAUACCGGAGAAUGUUAUCACGGGAGACACACGGCGGGUGCUAACGUCCGUCGUGAAGAGGGAAACAACCCAGACCGCCAGCUAAGGUCCCAAAGUCAUGGUUAAGUGGGAAACGAUGUGGGAAGGCCCAGACAGCCAGGAUGUUGGCUUAGAAGCAGCCAUCAUUUAAAGAAAGCGUAAUAGCUCACUGGUCGAGUCGGCCUGCGCGGAAGAUGUAACGGGGCUAAACCAUGCACCGAAGCUGCGGCAGCGACACUAUGUGUUGUUGGGUAGGGGAGCGUUCUGUAAGCCUGUGAAGGUGGCCUGUGAGGGUUGCUGGAGGUAUCAGAAGUGCGAAUGCUGACAUAAGUAACGAUAAAGCGGGUGAAAAGCCCGCUCGCCGGAAGACCAAGGGUUCCUGUCCAACGUUAAUCGGGGCAGGGUGAGUCGACCCCUAAGGCGAGGCCGAAAGGCGUAGUCGAUGGGAAACAGGUUAAUAUUCCUGUACUUGGUGUUACUGCGAAGGGGGGACGGAGAAGGCUAUGUUGGCCGGGCGACGGUUGUCCCGGUUUAAGCGUGUAGGCUGAUUUUCCAGGCAAAUCCGGAAAAUCAAGGCUGAGGCGUGAUGACGAGGCACUACGGUGCUGAAGCAACAAAUGCCCUGCUUCCAGGAAAAGCCUCUAAGCAUCAGGUAACAUCAAAUCGUACCCCAAACCGACACAGGUGGUCAGGUAGAGAAUACCAAGGCGCUUGAGAGAACUCGGGUGAAGGAACUAGGCAAAAUGGUGCCGUAACUUCGGGAGAAGGCACGCUGAUAUGUAGGUGAAGCGACUUGCUCGUGGAGCUGAAAUCAGUCGAAGAUACCAGCUGGCUGCAACUGUUUAUUAAAAACACAGCACUGUGCAAACACGAAAGUGGACGUAUACGGUGUGACGCCUGCCCGGUGCCGGAAGGUUAAUUGAUGGGGUUAGCGGUAACGCGAAGCUCUUGAUCGAAGCCCCGGUAAACGGCGGCCGUAACUAUAACGGUCCUAAGGUAGCGAAAUUCCUUGUCGGGUAAGUUCCGACCUGCACGAAUGGCGUAAUGAUGGCCAGGCUGUCUCCACCCGAGACUCAGUGAAAUUGAACUCGCUGUGAAGAUGCAGUGUACCCGCGGCAAGACGGAAAGACCCCGUGAACCUUUACUAUAGCUUGACACUGAACAUUGAGCCUUGAUGUGUAGGAUAGGUGGGAGGCUUUGAAGUGUGGACGCCAGUCUGCAUGGAGCCGACCUUGAAAUACCACCCUUUAAUGUUUGAUGUUCUAACGUUGACCCGUGAUCCGGGUUGCGGACAGUGUCUGGUGGGUAGUUUGACUGGGGCGGUCUCCUCCUAAAGAGUAACGGAGGAGCACGAAGGUUGGCUAAUCCUGGUCGGACAUCAGGAGGUUAGUGCAAUGGCAUAAGCCAGCUUGACUGCGAGCGUGACGGCGCGAGCAGGUGCGAAAGCAGGUCAUAGUGAUCCGGUGGUUCUGAAUGGAAGGGCCAUCGCUCAACGGAUAAAAGGUACUCCGGGGAUAACAGGCUGAUACCGCCCAAGAGUUCAUAUCGACGGCGGUGUUUGGCACCUCGAUGUCGGCUCAUCACAUCCUGGGGCUGAAGUAGGUCCCAAGGGUAUGGCUGUUCGCCAUUUAAAGUGGUACGCGAGCUGGGUUUAGAACGUCGUGAGACAGUUCGGUCCCUAUCUGCCGUGGGCGCUGGAGAACUGAGGGGGGCUGCUCCUAGUACGAGAGGACCGGAGUGGACGCAUCACUGGUGUUCGGGUUGUCAUGCCAAUGGCACUGCCCGGUAGCUAAAUGCGGAAGAGAUAAGUGCUGAAAGCAUCUAAGCACGAAACUUGCCCCGAGAUGAGUUCUCCCUGACUCCUUGAGAGUCCUGAAGGAACGUUGAAGACGACGACGUUGAUAGGCCGGGUGUGUAAGCGCAGCGAUGCGUUGAGCUAACCGGUACUAAUGAACCGUGAGGCUUAACCUUACAACGCCGAAG
Molecule: ribosomal RNA, 2926 nt
Filed under: Escherichia coli
Lineage: Bacteria; Pseudomonadati; Pseudomonadota; Gammaproteobacteria; Enterobacterales; Enterobacteriaceae
Description: bacterial LSU rRNA
Rfam family: Bacterial large subunit ribosomal RNA
Source: RNAcentral